GACGAACGCUGGCGGCGCGCUUAACACAUGCAAGUCGAGCGAUGAAAUUUCGACAGAUCCCUUCGGGGGGAAGAUGAAAUGGAUUAGCGGCGGACGGGUGAGUAACACGUGAGUAACCUGCCUUUGACAUUGGGAUAGCCUCGGGAAACUGGGAUUAAUACCAAAUGACACUAACUGAUCACAUGAUCAAUUAGUCAAAGAAAUUCGGUCAAAGCUGGACUCGCGGCUGAUUAGCUAGUUGGUGAGGUAACGGCCCACCAAGGCGACGAUCAGUAGCCGGCCUGAGAGGGUGAUCGGCCACAUUGGAACUGAGACACGGUCCAAACUCCUACGGGAGGCAGCAGUGGGGAAUAUUGCACAAUGGGGGAAACCCUGAUGCAGCGACGCCGCGUGAGCGAAGAAGUCCUUCGGGUCGUAAAGCUCUUUUAUGAGGGAAGAUAAUGACGGUACCUAAAGAAAAAGCCCCGGCUAACUACGUG
Molecule: ribosomal RNA, 479 nt
Filed under: uncultured bacterium
Lineage: Bacteria
Description: partial 16S ribosomal RNA
Rfam family: Bacterial small subunit ribosomal RNA
Source: RNAcentral